CCAAUAGCGUAUAUUAAAGUUGUUGCAGUUAAAAAGCUCGUAGUUGAAUUUCGGGAUUGGCGCAUCGGUCGUGCCUUACGGGGUAUGAACUGGUGCAGUCAAUUUCUCACCUUCUGGAGAACCGCGAUGUCCUUAAUUGGGUGCCGCGGGGAACCAGGACCUUUACUUUGAAAAAAUUAGAGUGUUUAAAGCAGGCAUUUUUGCUUGAAUACAUUAGCAUGGAAUAAUAAAAUAGGACGGCAUGGUUCUAUUUUGUUGGUUUCUAGGACCACCGUAAUGAUUAAUAGGGAUAGUUGGGGGCAUUAGUAUUCAAUUGUCAGAGGUGAAAUUCUUGGAUUUAUUGAAGACUAACUACUGCGAAAGCAUUUGCCAAGGAUGUUUUCAUUAAUCAAGAACGAAAGUUAUGGGAUCGAAGACGAUCAGAUACCGUCGUAGUCUUAACCAUAAACUAUGCCGACUAGGGAUCGGAUGAUGUUAAUUUUAUAAUGACUCAUUCGGCGCCUUACG
RNAcentral lists this unclassified non-coding RNA (507 nucleotides) under uncultured Entrophospora. RNAcentral describes it as "SSU rRNA". It matches the Rfam family "Eukaryotic small subunit ribosomal RNA", at positions 591 to 1092 of the family's 1831-position model. Lineage: Eukaryota; Fungi; Glomeromycota; Glomeromycetes; Entrophosporales; Entrophosporaceae. The record is from RNAcentral.